GGAGAACCCUCGCCUGUCUAAAGGGGGCAGCAGGUCCUCAGCCUCAGCCAUUGGCUGCGGCACGAGAACUCAGAACAAAUGUGGCCUGACCUUCCCAGAAACGCUGGGAAUCCUAGUUUAUGACUUUGGUGUUCAAUUCAAAUAAAAAAACUCACAAACAAUAACCACCAACAUAGCUAACAACAUUAUGGGACGCACAGAACAGGUCCUGGAGCAGUGCUGGACUGCAGGAAGUUAAAACAAAGUUCCAGAAAGGCCAGCGGUCCUCAGGAGUCCGAUUUGCCCCACAGAGAAGACUCAAAAAGCACCUGAAGGGCCACGAAGGCAGCCCGAAGUCACUGCUCCUCACCCGUUAGGGGACACGGCAGCAUCGUUAAACAUGCGUGCACCAGCCUCCCUCGGGGAGGAUUUUGAGGAGGACAGCUCUCAUUGACCUGCACGUACUGGGGCAGUUGCUCAAUGACGGUCCCAGCGGUUUACACUCCCAGCCCAAAAAGCGAGCUCCUGGGGAACCAGAGGGUGUUUCUGGAGUUGCUCUAGGAGGCUGCAAUACCGCCGAUGUCCACUGGGGGUCUCUCUCGCACCACUGAUGGCAUCACCACCUCCAAGUCUAGCUGGGGCGGGGUUACUGCUGGGGAAGCAAGGUCAGGCCCAGCCUCUGUGGAAGGAUUGCCGUGCCCUUCACGGUGAUGUGACUGCCUGAAGUUGGAUGCAUCCUGCUCUUGAACAUCUCGGGCACGGCUUAGCCCAGGAGACAGCAGCUCGUCCCUGAGUGUGGGGUGGCCUGGCUGGUGCCUAUUCUGGAUGGCCCAUUUGAAAGAGGAUCAGAAAGGAUUUCAUCUGAAAAGGAAUCAAGUGCAAAUCAAGUGCUUUCACUUCCUGAAUUGUUUGCAGCGCACAAGGUUGUUCUGAACGUGGGCUCUGAGUCAUGGGGGAGCCCAGGUUGUCUGCCCAACCGGGGGAGCCAGGGGAUCUGACACAGAGGCCAGAGAAGGGAUGCUGUCAGGCCAGAGACUGGCUUAGAACCAACAUGCUUCUUCCUUGUUCUGGGUUCAGUCACACAAAUGAGCAGAGGCAGCAGCCUCCGGGCCCAGAGAAACAGUCCACAAAGACAAGAAAGAGAACGCUGGGCUGGGGGAUGCGUGUUGCGGCCAUGAAAGCAAUGCCUUCUACGGAGAAGGCCGGGAAGCCUGGACCCUUGGGAGCAGCCGUGUUGGGGCAUUGGGAGGAGGAAAGCGGGGGAUGUGUCACAGUGCUUAUUGGUCUGUUUCUGUUCCUCUCCCCUGCCCCCCAUUCCUCCCACUGCCCCCGAGACAAGAUGCUGUUAGGAAAAUAGGGGCUGCUUGGCCCCACUGAACCCUCUCAUCUACCAUCAGGAAAAUGGUGGCUCUCCCAGUAUCGUUAUGGUCCCGCUCAGCCCCCGGGGCUCGGGACAGGGUCUCCCUUCAUCUUCUCGGGUCCUUUUAUGGCAGCUCUGGGUCUCCCAAGGAAUGGUGCUGGAAAGAAGACUUUUGUCUUUUUUGUACUGGUUUUCCUGACUAAAUAUCAUAGUCAUUGCAGAAAAUUUGGCAAACAGAGACAUGAGUAAAAAGGAAAUGUACAAGGGGCGCCUGGGUGGUUCAGUCGGUUGAGCAUCCGACUUCAGCUCAGGUCACGCUCUCACAGAUCGUGAGUUUGAGCCCCGCAUCGGGCUCUGGGCUGACAGCUUGGAGCCUGGAGCCUGCUUCGGGUUCUGUGUCUCCCUCUCUUUCUGCCCCUCUCCUGCUCAUGCUUAGUCUCUCUCUCUCUCUCUCUCUCUCUCGCUCUCUCUCUCUGCCCCUCCCCCACUUGUGCUGUCUCUCUCUCUCUCUCUCUUGAAAAUUAAAAAAAAAAUGUACAGAAUGAUUUUAGACUGAAAACCAGAUUAAUUCAGGAAACAAUUACUUUAUUGAGCACCUAGUAUGUGCCGGGAGCUGUUCUUGGUGCUGGGGAUGCUGCAUGAACAAAGAAAAGUCCUUGGCCUCUCGGAGUGUCUAUUCUAGUAGAAGAGACGGUGAGUAGAGCAGGGGAAGGGCCACCUUUAUUGAUAUGGGGCCAGAAAACGAGGAAGCGACAUGGUGGGUAUCAGAGGAAGAGCGUGUCAGGCAGAAGGAAUGGAAGUGUGGCAGGAACCUGCCUGGUGUGUUCAGGGGUGUGAGGGAGGCCAGCAUGGCUGCAGCAGGUGAGCAAAGAGGGUAUGGAAGGAGAGGAGGCAGGGACAGCUGGCCGAAGACACGUGGGGACUUGUCAAUUGUGGUGAAGGCUUCAGAUUACUACUGAAUGAGACAGAAAUCCAACGUAGGCUCUUGAUCAGCAGAGCAACCGACCGGCCUUAUGCUUUGAGAUAAUCACUCUGGAUGCUGGAUGGAAAGCAGGCGGGGCCUGGGGGUUGGCAUGGGUAGGAGCUGGGAUACCAGUUAGGUUACUGCGGUAAUGCAGGGGAGAGAGUCUUCCUUGACCCCCCCUGGAGCCCCUGGCUAGGGCUGGAAAUCCCACUCACGAAGGCCAAUCAACAGGAGAAAAGCCCGCACAAGAGAACGCGGACCCAAAGUGGUGACCGGAUCAGGAGGCUUUAGGCAAAGAAACGAUACAGUUUGAAGAACUGGCAAGACACAGGGUCAGGGCCACGGGCAGCGAGUUUGUUUCUACGGCCUUCUCAGCUCCCAGUUCCCUGUCACCAGUGACGUCUUCCUGCCUUUGGGUGCCUUUCACAUGGGAGAUUUUAUCUCCUGGUUUCAGGACAAAAAGAGUCAGGGAGGCCUUGUGGCCUCAGCUGUUUCUUAGGUGCCUUGAAUUAGAACAAUAUGCCACGGUGUUGAGUCUUGGGGCAACGUGUUCUGCCCCCCUUUGAUAGUAAUACCAAGCUGUAACAGUGGAGGGAGCUGCCCUGGGGGAGGCCUGGAGCCUCUCCCCUGGGGUUCCUGCUGCUUCUUCUCAGUGGCCUCUCGGAGAGUCCACUCUGGAACCCCAAGAUGCCUGGCUGCACAGUUUGAAAACCGCUGGAAGGGAAGGUCUCUAAGGGCACCUCUGGCUCCGGGCUCCCGGGCUCCCGUGGCCCUGCGGGCCGGGCUGUUUGAGGCCCAGACCUGAUUGAUUCCAUGAGAGGCAGCCUGGCUUCCAUUUUCUAGGCCUCUGAAAAUGCCGACUUGGAAACUGGACGGGUUUUUCAGGGUCCAGAAAGGGGAGGGAUUUUGAAAAUUAACUCAACGUCCAGGUGCAGAACGUUGGCCAGCCCUGCGUAGGAAUUGUAAGGAGGAGUAAAACAAAGCACUUGCCCCAAGGAACCCACCAGCUGGCCCAGGAGCUAGGAGGUCAUACCAAUGACAAAAGGGGUCUGUGACCCCCUGGCCCUGACUUGCUUCCAUAUGCCCUGGGCCCGUGGUUCCCAAACCGGGUCGGCCAUGAGGGCACCUGGGAAGCUUUAGACCACACAGGCUUCCAGAGGGUUUUCUCGUAGAUCCCUCAGUCUCUCCUCCUUAGUCUCUCAGAACCUCUCCGGGCUGAGCUAGUGGUCUGUGAAACCACUUAGCACCCUGAAAUGUCCUAAGGACACCACCAACAUGGAGGGAGAUAUUCUCACAGAGCCCCACAGAUCUCACAGAGGGGGAGCCCUCACCAGAGAGAAACAACUGGGAGGCGAGGCUGGCUGAACAGGUGGGACCUGAAAGUCCAUGCCAGAACCUGAAGAAAAUUGGACAUUUCCAAACAGAAAGAGAGAGAGAGA
Long non-coding RNA from Neofelis nebulosa (Clouded leopard), 3742 nucleotides. RefSeq lists it as uncharacterized. The record is from RefSeq and is a predicted model, not a curated record. NCBI's taxonomy places the organism in Eukaryota, Metazoa, Chordata, Mammalia, Carnivora, Felidae. The transcript has 3 exons.